This 347-nucleotide ribosomal RNA is filed under the name uncultured bacterium. RNAcentral describes it as "bacterial SSU rRNA". It matches the Rfam family "Bacterial small subunit ribosomal RNA", at positions 568 to 913 of the family's 1533-position model. The record is from RNAcentral.
CUCGUAGGCGGCCAACUAAGUCAGACGUGAAAUCCCUCGGCUUAACCGGGGAACUGCGUCUGAUACUGGAUGGCUUGAGGUUGGGAGAGGGAUGCGGAAUUCCAGGUGUAGCGGUGAAAUGCGUAGAUAUCUGGAGGAACACCGGUGGCGAAGGCGGCAUCCUGGACCAAUUCUGACGCUGAGGAGCGAAAGCCAGGGGAGCAAACGGGAUUAGAUACCCCGGUAGUCCUGGCCCUAAACGAUGAAUGCUUGGUGUGGCGGGUAUCGAUCCCUGCCGUGCCGAAGCUAACGCAUUAAGCAUUCCGCCUGGGGAGUACGGUCGCAAGGCUGAAACUCAAAGGAAUUGA